GCUGCGGGGCGUGAUGGCUGCCGCGGCGGACUGAAGCCGGGCCUGGGACGCUGAGCACGAGAGCCGCCGGCGGAAUCGCCCAGCCGCGCAGACUCUCGGGGCUGGGGGGCUUCCCCGAGAAGACCCGGCAGCGUGGGGAAGCAAGGCGGACGCCCCGGGACGCACGCGUGGACGAUGAGGCCGCGGCAUGGACUGCAAACCACUGCUUUGCUGGAAAAAGCUGGUCCAGGAGUUGCUAAGCUUGGCAUUCGUAAAGAACUAAAGAGGCUGAGUUUAAAGUUAAAGAAGAUGAUUUAUUUGAAGAUGGAGAAAGAGAGAGAUGACAGCUACUCUGAAUGAGAAUGAUACCAGUAUUAUUUUAAUUACAAUAUUACCUACAUUACAAUAAAUAUUACUUAAGGCAUGAUUUCUUCUUCAA
This is a long non-coding RNA of Heterocephalus glaber (naked mole-rat), 418 nucleotides long. RefSeq lists it as uncharacterized. The record is from RefSeq and is a predicted model, not a curated record. Lineage: Eukaryota; Metazoa; Chordata; Mammalia; Rodentia; Bathyergidae.